GAUGAACGCUGGCGGCGUGCCUAAUACAUGCAAGUCGAGCGAACAGACGAGGAGCUUGCUCCUCUGACGUUAGCGGCGGACGGGUGAGUAACACGUGGAUAACCUACCUAUAAGACUGGGAUAACUUCGGGAAACCGGAGCUAAUACCGGAUAACAUGUUGAACCGCAUGGUUCAACAGUGAAAGACGGUCUUGCUGUCACUUAUAGAUGGAUCCGCGCCGCAUUAGCUAGUUGGUAAGGUAACGGCUUACCAAGGCAACGAUGCGUAGCCGACCUGAGAGGGGGUGGGCCACACUGGAACUGAGACACGGUCCAGACUCCUACGGGAGGCAGCAGUAGGGAAUCUUCCGCAAUGGGCGAAAGCCUGACGGAGCAACGCCGCGUGAGUGAAGAAGGUCUUCGGAUCGUAAAACUCUGUUAUUAGGGAAGAACAAAUGUGUAAGUAACUAUGCACGUCCUGACGGUACCUAAUCAGAAAGCCACGGCUAACUACGUG
This 496-nucleotide ribosomal RNA is filed under the name uncultured bacterium. RNAcentral describes it as "partial 16S ribosomal RNA". It matches the Rfam family "Bacterial small subunit ribosomal RNA", at positions 28 to 507 of the family's 1533-position model. The record is from RNAcentral.